AUUGAACGCUGGCGGCAGGCCUAACACAUGCAAGUCGAGCGGCAGCGGAAAGUAGCUUGCUACUUUGCCGGCGAGCGGCGGACGGGUGAGUAAUGUCUGGGAAACUGCCUGAUGGAGGGGGAUAACUACUGGAAACGGUAGCUAAUACCGCAUAACGUCGCAAGACCAAAGAGGGGGACCUUCGGGCCUCUUGCCAUCAGAUGUGCCCAGAUGGGAUUAGCUAGUAGGUGGGGUAACGGCUCACCUAGGCGAAGAUCCCUAGCUGGUCUGAGAGGAUGACCAGCCAAACUGGAACGGAGACACGGUCCAGACUCCUACGGGAGGCAGCAGUGGUGAAUAGUGAACAAUGGGCGCAAGCCUGAUGCAGCCAUGCCGCGUGUAUGAAGAAGGCCUUCGGGUUGUAAAGUACUUUCAGCGGGGAGGAAGGCGUUGAGGUUAAUAACCUCAGUGAUUGACGUUACCCGCAGAAGAAGCACCGGCUAACUCCGUGCCAGCCGCCGCCGUAA
This 506-nucleotide ribosomal RNA is filed under the name uncultured bacterium. RNAcentral's name for it is "partial 16S ribosomal RNA". It matches the Rfam family "Bacterial small subunit ribosomal RNA", at positions 30 to 523 of the family's 1533-position model. The record is from RNAcentral.